This 496-nucleotide ribosomal RNA is filed under the name uncultured bacterium. RNAcentral's name for it is "partial 16S ribosomal RNA". It matches the Rfam family "Bacterial small subunit ribosomal RNA", at positions 29 to 507 of the family's 1533-position model. The record is from RNAcentral.
AUGAACGCUGGCGGCGUGCCUAAUACAUGCAAGUCGAGCGAACAGACGAGGAGCUUGCUCCUCUGACGUUAGCGGCGGACGGGUGAGUAACACGUGGAUAACCUACCUAUAAGACUGGGAUAACUUCGGGAAACCGGAGCUAAUACCGGAUAAUAUAUUGAACCGCAUGGUUCCAUAGUGAAAGACGGUUUUGCUGUCACUUAUAGAUGGAUCCGCGCCGCAUUAGCUAGUUGGUAAGGUAACGGCUUACCAAGGCGACGAUGCGUAGCCGACCUGAGAGGGUGAUCGGCCACACUGGAACUGAGACACGGUCCAGACUCCUACGGGAGGCAGCAGUAGGGAAUCUUCCGCAAUGGGCGAAAGCCUGACGGAGCAACGCCGCGUGAGUGAUGAAGGUCUUCGGAUCGUAAAACUCUGUUAUUAGGGAAGAACAAAUGUGUAAGUAACUAUGCACGUCUUGACGGUACCUAAUCAGAAAGCCACGGCUAACUACGUG